This 337-nucleotide RNase P RNA is filed under the name Sphaerochaeta sp. RNAcentral's name for it is "RNase P RNA component class A". It matches the Rfam family "Bacterial RNase P class A". Rfam says of the family: Ribonuclease P (RNase P) is a ubiquitous endoribonuclease, found in archaea, bacteria and eukarya as well as chloroplasts and mitochondria. Its best characterised activity is the generation of mature 5'-ends of tRNAs by cleaving the 5'-leader elements of precursor-tRNAs. Lineage: Bacteria; Pseudomonadati; Spirochaetota; Spirochaetia; Spirochaetales; Sphaerochaetaceae. RNAcentral also lists the same sequence under 2 other names. The record is from RNAcentral.
CAAGGUAGGCUAGAUGAUCGCGCUCGGUAUGCCGAGUGAGGAAAGUCCGGGCUCCGCAGGACAUGACGCCGGAUAACAUCCGGGAGCGGUAACGCUACAGAGAGUGCCACAGAAAAGAUACCGCCGCAUCCGCGGUAAGGGUGAAAUGGUGGGGUAAGAGCCCACCGCGAUGGUGGCAACAUCAUCGGCAGGGAAAACCUCGUCAGGAGCAAGACCAAGCAGCAAAUUGGGUUGUCCGCCCGACAUUUGCGGGUAGGUUGCAUGAGUGGUUUGGCAACAAACCACCUAGAUAGAUGAUCAUCUUCGACAGAACCCGGCUUAUUGCCUACCUUGUCUU